RNAcentral lists this unclassified non-coding RNA (231 nucleotides) under Hevea brasiliensis (rubber tree). Lineage: Eukaryota; Viridiplantae; Streptophyta; Magnoliopsida; Malpighiales; Euphorbiaceae. The record is from RNAcentral.
UUCUUUUGUCAAAUAUUAAGGGAUUACAACAAUUCGUUUAUUCUCGAGCUUGAAAGUUGCAAAAAUUCAAUGAGAGAAUAUAUUCAUCGACUUACAACAUCACUAAUUGUCAACUCAUUCACUGAACAUAAUUCUUCUUUUGCUGUUAAUGAGCUAGAAUUAUUAUGAGACUUUCUAAAAAAGAAUGCAGGUUGUUUAGGAGAAGGAAGAGUAAUUUCACUAUUCAACAUU